RNAcentral lists this ribosomal RNA (369 nucleotides) under uncultured Geobacillus sp. RNAcentral's name for it is "bacterial SSU rRNA". It matches the Rfam family "Bacterial small subunit ribosomal RNA", at positions 1013 to 1382 of the family's 1533-position model. Lineage: Bacteria; Bacillati; Bacillota; Bacilli; Caryophanales; Anoxybacillaceae. The record is from RNAcentral.
UUCCCCUUCGGGGGGACAGGGUGACAGGUGGUGCAUGGUUGUCGUCAGCUCGUGUCGUGAGAUGUUGGGUUAAGUCCCGCAACGAGCGCAACCCUCGCCUCUAGUUGCCAGCAUCGGUUGGGCACUCUAGAGGGACUGCCGGCGACAAGUCGGAGGAAGGUGGGGAUGACGUCAAAUCAUCAUGCCCCUUAUGACCUGGGCUACACACGUGCUACAAUGGGCGGUACAAAGGGCUGCGAACCCGCGAGGGGGAGCGAAUCCCAAAAAGCCGCUCUCAGUUCGGAUUGCAGGCUGCAACUCGCCUGCAUGAAGCCGGAAUCGCUAGUAAUCGCGGAUCAGCAUGCCGCGGUGAAUACGUUCCCGGGCCUU